CCUACGGGUGGCAGCAGUAGGGAAUAUUGCUCAAUGGGGGAAACCCUGAAGCAGCAACGCCGCGUGGAGGAUGAAGGUUUUCGGAUUGUAAACUCCUUUUGGUAGAGAAGAGAAUGACGGUAUCUAACGAAUAAGCACCGGCUAACUCCGUGCCAGCAGCCGCGGUAAUACGGAGGGGGCAAGCGUUCCUCGGAAUCACUGGGCGUAAAGAGCGCGUAGGCGGGAUAGCAAGUCAGAUGUGAAAUCCUAUGGCUUAACCAUAGAACUGCAUUUGAAACUGUUAUUCUAGAGUCUGGGUGAGGUAGGUUGAAUUCUUGGUGUCGGGGUCAAAUCCGUAGCGAUCACGCGGAAUCCUCAUUGCGAAGGCGACCUGCUAGAACAUACCUGCCGCUGCUGCGCGCACGCGUGGGGAGCAAACCGGAUUAGAUACCCCGGUAGUC
Molecule: ribosomal RNA, 440 nt
Filed under: uncultured bacterium
Lineage: Bacteria
Description: partial 16S ribosomal RNA
Rfam family: Bacterial small subunit ribosomal RNA
Source: RNAcentral